CCUAUGGGGGGCAUCAGUGAGGAAUAUUGGUCAAUGGGCGGAAGCCUGAACCAGCCAAGUCGCGUGAGGGAUUAAGGCCCUGCGGGUCGUAAACCUCUUUUGCCGGGGAGCAGAGGUCCGGACGUGUCCGGGCCGGGAGAGUACCCGGAGAAAAAGCAUCGGCAAACUCCGUGCCAGCAGCCGCGGUCAUAGGGAGGAUGCGAGCGUUAUCGGGAUUUAUUGGGUUGAAAGGGUGCGUAGGCGGGCAUUUAAGCCGGCGGUCAAAUGUCGGGGCUCAACCCCGGCCUGCCGUCGGAACUGGGUGCCUUGAGUGGGCGAGAGGUAUGCGGAAUGCGUGGUGUAGCGGUGAAAUGCGUAGAUAUCACGCAGAACCCCGAUUGCGAAGGCAGCAUACCGGCGCCCUACUGACGCUGAGGCACGAAAGUGCGGGUAUCGAACAGGAUUAGAUACCCCUGUAGUC
Molecule: ribosomal RNA, 460 nt
Filed under: uncultured bacterium
Lineage: Bacteria
Description: partial 16S ribosomal RNA
Rfam family: Bacterial small subunit ribosomal RNA
Source: RNAcentral